UUGAAUGUUUGAAUGUGGAAUGUGUGUUGAAUGUUUUCUAGCUUAUCGUACUUGAUUCAAGUGUAUUCCUUUGGCCGGGGAAUGCCCUGAGGUUUCAUGUGUUCAUUCACAGGAGAAUACCCUAAAAUAUUAUGUCUUUGAAGGAGGUUUAUGAUCAAGGACCGAGGCAUCAGGAAGCAUUAGAGAGUAGUUCGGGAUUAGUAUAGGUAAGCAUAGGUUUAUAUUUCUGCAUUC
RNAcentral lists this long non-coding RNA (234 nucleotides) under Capsicum annuum. RNAcentral's name for it is "long non-coding RNA (CANN_LNC017946)". Lineage: Eukaryota; Viridiplantae; Streptophyta; Magnoliopsida; Solanales; Solanaceae. The record is from RNAcentral.